AACGAACGCUGGCGGCAUGCCUAACACAUGCAAGUCGAACGAGACCUUCGGGUCUAGUGGCGCACGGGUGCGUAACGCGUGGGAACCUGCCCUUAGGUUCGGAAUAACUCCCCGAAAGGGGUGCUAAUACCGGAUAAUGUCUUCGGACCAAAGAUUUAUCGCCUUUGGAUGGGCCCGCGUUGGAUUAGCUAGUUGGUAGGGUAAAAGCCUACCAAGGCGACGAUGCAUAGCUGGUCUGAGAGGAUGAUCAGCCACACUGGGACUGAGACACGGCCCAGACUCCUACGGGAGGCAGCAGUGGGGAAUAUUGGACAGUGGGCGAAAGCCUGAUCCAGCAAUGCCGCGUGAGUGAUGAAGGCCUUAGGGUUGUAAAGCUCUUUUACCCGGGAUGAUAAUGACAGUACCGGGAGAAUAAGCUCCGGCUAACUCCGUG
RNAcentral lists this ribosomal RNA (433 nucleotides) under uncultured bacterium. RNAcentral describes it as "partial 16S ribosomal RNA". It matches the Rfam family "Bacterial small subunit ribosomal RNA", at positions 29 to 507 of the family's 1533-position model. The record is from RNAcentral.